RNAcentral lists this long non-coding RNA (405 nucleotides) under Panax ginseng (ginseng). RNAcentral's name for it is "long non-coding RNA (PGIN_LNC011040)". The record is from RNAcentral. Lineage: Eukaryota; Viridiplantae; Streptophyta; Magnoliopsida; Apiales; Araliaceae.
GAAUUGGAAAGCAGUCUAUAUACUUUAAAGACAUGUCUCGAGGCCGUCCUUGGGAUCGAAGCAGACCCAACAGCCAUUUUCUUGAUUGACUGAGAAGGGUAUUCCGCCCUAUUGGUCUUCGGGAUUAUGGUCGAAGCAGAGUAGAUGAAGACCCAACAGCCAUUUUCCUGAUUGAUUGACUGAGAAGGGUAUUCUGCCCUAUUGGUCUUCGGGAUUAUGGUCGAAGCAGAGUAGAUGAAGAUCCAACAGCCAUUUUCUUGAUUGACCGAGGAAGGUACUUCACCCUAUUGGUCUUUGGGAUUAUGGUCACAACAGACGAAUAAACUGAUCCAGGGAGCAUGCACCUCAGAAUACAAAUAAGGCAUUUUGCCUUGAGUAUCCUCACCACAGUGACAGAAAGUUUCA